UGUUUGGCAGCAAGAGUGACAUGAAGUUGUCGGGGUUCAAAUGCGGUGAUCGGGGAUCACUCGCGCGAAAAAAAAUCGAAGAAAUUCUGGGGUUCAAGAAAAGCAAAAAAAAAAAUCAAAAAGUUCUGGGGUUCAAGAACAGCAAAAAAAAAAAUCAAAAAGUUCUGGGGUUCAAGAAAAGCAAAAAAAAAUCAAAAAGUUCUGGGGUUCAGGAAAAGCAAAAAAAAAAAUUAAAAAAGUUUUGGGGGUUCAAGAAAAGAAAAAAUAAUAAUAAUUCCCAGCGGAGCGCAAAUUGUUCGUCUAUUCUUGGUAUUCAACCACUCUUCACUCUG
This 332-nucleotide long non-coding RNA is filed under the name Lathyrus oleraceus (garden pea). Its description in RNAcentral is "Pisum sativum (pea) long non-coding RNA (PSAT_LNC020856)". Lineage: Eukaryota; Viridiplantae; Streptophyta; Magnoliopsida; Fabales; Fabaceae. The record is from RNAcentral.